This 427-nucleotide ribosomal RNA is filed under the name uncultured bacterium. RNAcentral's name for it is "bacterial SSU rRNA". It matches the Rfam family "Bacterial small subunit ribosomal RNA", at positions 355 to 774 of the family's 1533-position model. The record is from RNAcentral.
UGGGGAAUCUUCCGCAAUGGACGAAAGUCUGACGGAGCAACGCCGCGUGAGUGAAGAAGGCCUUCGGGUCGUAAAGCUCAGUUGUCAGGGAAGAAAGGUACUUUUGUGAAUAAUGGGAGUAAAUGACGGUACCUGACGAGGAAGCCACGGCUAACUACGUGCCAGCAGCCGCGGUAAUACGUAGGUGGCAAGCGUUAUCCGGAAUUAUUGGGCGUAAAGGGUGCGUAGGCGGAAGAUCAAGUUCAAGGUGAAAGCGUGGGGCUCAACCCCAUACAGCCUUGGAAACUGGUCAUCUAGAGUGCAGAAGAGGGUAGUGGAAUUCCAUGUGUAGCGGUAAAAUGCGUAGAUAUAUGGAGGAACACCAGUGGCGAAGGCGGCUACCUGGUCUGUAACUGACGCUGAAGCACGAAAGCGUGGGGAGCAAAUA